RNAcentral lists this ribosomal RNA (474 nucleotides) under uncultured bacterium. RNAcentral's name for it is "bacterial SSU rRNA". It matches the Rfam family "Bacterial small subunit ribosomal RNA", at positions 29 to 537 of the family's 1533-position model. The record is from RNAcentral.
AACGAACGCUGGCGGCAGGCCUAAAACAUGCAAGUCGAACGAACCUUCGGGUUAGUGGCGCACGGGUGAGUAACGCGUGGGAAUGUGCCUCUGGGUGCGGAACAACGUCGGGAAACUGACGCUAAUACCGCAUAAUGUCUACGGACCAAAGAUUUAUCGCCCAGAGAUCAGCCCGCGUCUGAUUAGCUAGUUGGUGAGGUAACGGCUCACCAAGGCUACGAUCAGUAGCUGGUCUGAGAGGAUGAUCAGCCACACUGGAACUGAGACACGGUCCAGACUCCUACGGGAGGCAGCAGUGAGGAAUAUUGGUCAAUGGGCGGAAGCCUGAACCAGCCAUGCCGCGUGCAGGAUGACGGCCCUACGGGUUGUAAACUGCUUUUCCCGGGCGAAUAACCCCCUCGCGAGGGGAGUGCCGGUACCGGGGAAGUAAGGAUCGGCUAACUCCGUGCCAGCAGCCGCGGUAACUCGUCUCUA